GCUACUGCGGAGAUCAUUACAGAGCGUGAGACUCUGCCCGGGCGCGUCCCGCGCGCAGAGUUGACCCUCCACCCGUGUUGACUUAUUUCAUGUUGCUUUGGCGGGCCCGGUGCUUUGCGCCGACCGGCUUCGUGCUGGGUCGUGUCCGCCAGAAACCCAACCUAACUCGUGUUGUCGUGUCGUCUGAAGUAGAAUGAUAUUGAAUUGUUAAAACUUUCAACAACGGAUCUCUUGGCUCUGGCAUCGAUGAAGAACGCAGCGAAAUGCGAUAAGUAAUGUGAAUUGCAGAAUUUAGUGAAUCAUCGAAUCUUUGAACGCACAUUGCGCCCCUUGGUAUUCCGAGGGGCAUGCCUGUUCGAGCGUCGUCACACCCCCUCAAGCCCCGCCGUGUGUGUGGUUUGGUGUUGGGGGAGCAUCUCUAAUUCGAAUUCGGAUUGACUCAGUGUAAUAGACUAUUCGCUGAGGACACACCUAGUGUGGCCGAAUAAGAUAAUUGUAGAAGCUUCUAACCCUUCUAGUCAUUUUAAGAUUAGACCUCAGAUCAGAUAGGACUACCCGCUGAACUUAAGCAUAUCAAUAAAAAGGAGGA
Molecule: ribosomal RNA, 589 nt
Filed under: Golovinomyces biocellatus
Lineage: Eukaryota; Fungi; Ascomycota; Leotiomycetes; Helotiales; Erysiphaceae
Description: eukaryotic LSU rRNA
Rfam family: 5.8S ribosomal RNA (bases 212-365)
Source: RNAcentral